This 496-nucleotide ribosomal RNA is filed under the name uncultured bacterium. Its description in RNAcentral is "bacterial SSU rRNA". It matches the Rfam family "Bacterial small subunit ribosomal RNA", at positions 29 to 501 of the family's 1533-position model. The record is from RNAcentral.
AAUGAACGCUGGCGGCGUGGUUAAGACAUGCAAGUCGAACGGUUUUUAAUGAAGGGCAACCGGAUUUAAAAGACAGUGGCGAACGGGUGCGUAACACGUGAACAAUCUACCUCCAAGUGGGGAAUAGCUCGCCGAAAGGCGAAUUAAUACCGCAUGUGGUCGAGGCUCGCAUGAGUCUUGAACUAAAGUCAGGGACCGCAAGGCCUGACGCUAGGAGAGGAGUUCGCGGCCUAUCAGCUAGUUGGCGAGGUAACGGCUCACCAAGGCUAAGACGGGUAGCUGGUCUGAGAGGAUGAUCAGCCACACUGGUACUGAGACACGGACCAGACUCCUACGGGAGGCAGCAGUAAGGAAUAUUGGACAAUGGAGGCAACUCUGAUCCAGCCAUGCCGCGUGCAGGAUGAAGGCGCUCUGCGUUGUAAACUGCUUUUACACGGGAAUAAACUCCGCCAUUCUUGGCGGACCGAAUGUACCGUGAGAAUAAGGACCGGCUAAC